RNAcentral lists this ribosomal RNA (443 nucleotides) under uncultured bacterium. Its description in RNAcentral is "partial 16S ribosomal RNA". It matches the Rfam family "Bacterial small subunit ribosomal RNA", at positions 338 to 795 of the family's 1533-position model. The record is from RNAcentral.
CCUACGGGUGGCAGCAGUGGGGAAUAUUGGGCAAUGGGCGCAAGCCUGACCCAGCAACGCCGCGUGAGUGAAAAAGGCUUUCGGGUUGUAAACCUCUUUUCUCAGGGACGAAGAAAGCGGUACUUCCCUAGGAAUACCCCACGGCUAACUACGCGCCAGCAGCCGCGGUAAUACGUAGGGGGCAAGCGUUAUCCGGUUUGAGUGGGUGUAAAGGGCGUGUAGGCGGGAGCGGAAGUCAGAUGUGAAAGCUCAGGGCUCAACCCUGGGACUGCAUUUGAAACUGUGUUGCUUGAGUGCUGGAGAGGCAAGCGGAAUUCCGGGUGUAGCGGUGAAAUGCGUAGAUAUAAGGAGGAACACCAGUGGCGAAGGCGGCUUACUGGACAGUAACUGACGCUGAGGCGCGAAAGCGUGGGGAGCAAACAGGAUUAGAUACCCCUGUAGUC